AACACUUGACAUGUUCGUCGCGACUCUAAGAGAUUAGAGUUUUCGGUUCGGCCGGACGAAACACAGGUGCUGCAUGGCUGUCGUCAGCUCGUGUCGUGAGAUGUUGGGUUAAGUCCCGCAACGAGCGCAACCCUCACUUUUAGUUGCUACCAUUUAGUUGGGCACUCUAAAAGAACUGCCAGUGAUAAGCUGGAGGAAGGUGGGGAUGACGUCAAGUCCUCAUGGCCCUUAUGUGUUGGGCUACACACGUGCUACAAUGGUAUUCACAGUGGGAUGCGAAGAGGCAACUCCAAGCAAACCUCAAAAAAAUACCUCAGUUCGGAUUGUACUCUGCAACUCGAGUACAUGAAGCUGGAAUUACUAGUAAUCGCGGAUCAGCGCGCCGCGGUGAAUACGUUACGCGGGUCU
This 408-nucleotide ribosomal RNA is filed under the name uncultured bacterium. Its description in RNAcentral is "bacterial SSU rRNA". It matches the Rfam family "Bacterial small subunit ribosomal RNA", at positions 976 to 1381 of the family's 1533-position model. The record is from RNAcentral.